UUUUACUUGGAAAAAGUGUAUUUAAAAAAAUAAUCUCAUAACUCAAAAGUUACCAAAGGGAUUUUUCCCCUUAAACUUUCCAUUAAUAAAAAACAAAGCAAACUUAUACUGAAAACAAUUAUGAGAAAAUUCAGCCCAAAGUAGAAAUUUCCAGAAAGUUAUGGGCAAGUGAAACAAAAAAGGCAAAAACUAUCACUGAAAAUAAAAGCUUUUUACAGGAAUUUCAUUUUAAAUGCAUUGGCAAUGAAUGUCUAAUUUCAAAGGUGGAUAAACAGCGUUUGCCAAAAGUCCCACUCUGGUGUUGCUAAGAAGCUCUGUGUCGAGCAAUGGAAAUGCCCACGACAGAGUUAACUCAGUCUGACUCAAUGUGGGUUUUAAAAACAGAAAUUAACAAAUUUGAACAGUAAGAGCACAAGUGGGCGACAAAAUGACUAGCAACAAAAUGACUGGCUGAAAAGGAUUAUCUUGCCAGCCAGGACGGGUGGCUCAUUUUGCAAACACAACUUUUCUAAAUACUAUGUGAGCCUUAUUUUUUGGUGGCAAAUGAAAUGUGUGUCUCCAAUUAGCUAGAUAAUAAUACUACAUUCUGCAAGGCUCUAGGCUACUCUGCAAAGAGCAGAAAAAGUGGCAUGUAAUAUAUCAGUGAUUAACAUGGCACAACUGCACCAAGUAAUUGUUAACUCUUUGCAUUAUAUUAAUCUGGCACAAGACAUUGAGUUCACUGAUUUUUGUGACAGCAGCUUCCCAUUAGCUACAGGAUAAGUAGAAAUUCCUCAGGCUGAUGUUUAAGCCCUUCCAUGAUGAGGUCACACUGUGCCUUUCCAUCCCUGUACCCUAUGGUGCCUUUCUUUGGGCCAGUCUUCCUAAAAUCUUUCUAGUGAAGAGACACAACAACGAGAGUCUAAGAGAGUCUCCCAAGUCCUCUGUUUUCCCCUCUCUACCAUUACUGGGGCCAUCCCCUAGAUCAGACUCUCUGUUACACAUUUUACAAAUUGAUCUUCUUUGCAACUAACCAUAAACCUGAGAAGUGGGAAUUAUCAUUCCCUUCUUACUUAUGAUCCCAUGUCGCCGCUGAAGUCUCCUUCUUACUAUACCAGGGUUUGUCUUCAUAAUAAAGAGAGUACUUUUUCACUCUCAAAUCACCAAAGUUGAGGUGCAGGGAGAUGCUAACUCCUGGGUCAUGCUGAUCUCUUGGAUGCUUUUGAUGGCACACACAUGUUUGUAAGUGAAUUGGAGUGAAAUAACUCAGGAGUAGGCCAAGCUGGAAUUGCUCUGCAGGAAUGGAGGGGAUGGGCAUUCCUCAUUCAACAUUUCUGUUUUGUUGCUUAACUCAGUGUCAGUCAUGGCCAUGACAAUGGGGAUGACGGGAGUAGCUUAUGGAGCAGAAAGGAUGGGACAGGCAGAUACCAAAUCCCGUCCAGCCCUCCUCUGCUAUGGCUGCUGUCUUCUGUGGGUGAAGGGUGCUUUGCGUCUCUGGGCCUUCAUCCCUUUUGUCCCUCUACUGAAACGUCCUUUCCACUCUUCUCCAAAGGCCCAAUCCUGCCUCUCCCCACAAGGCCCAGCUUAGAAUGCCCCCUGCCCCUCACCCCCAAAUCCUCCCCUGUUUCUCUCAAUGAGGUUAAUUGCCUACAGUGGCUUGAACUAUGUCCCUCAGAAACAUAUGUCUAAGUCCUAACCUACAGUACCUGUGCAGGUGAUCUCGUCUGGAAAUAGAAUCUUUGCAGAAGUAAUUAAGGUAAGAAUUUUGAGGCGAGAUCAUCCCAGAUCAGGGCGGGCCCCAAAUCCAAUGACGGGUAUUUUUAAAAUAAAAAAAGGAGAAGACUCACAGAGGAGAGGCGGUGUGAGGAUGGAGGCAGAGACUGAAACGAUAUGUCUACAAACGAAGGAGCACGGGGAUGUCAGGAGCCACUGGAAGUCAGGAGAAGGCCCAGACACGUUCUGCCUCAGAGCCUCCCAGGGGAACUCACCCAGCGGAACCAUUGACUUUGGACUUCUAGCCUCAGAGCUGUUUGUGAUAAUAUAUUACUGUGCCCCCAGAGAUGAAUAUGCUGCCUUUUCCUGAACCCUAUUAUUCUAUCUGAUUUUCUCUUGAGACCCCUCAGUUCUGAUUCCAUGUUUUAUUUUUUCACACACGCAUUUGCCUUCUAUCAGAUCAUAACCCCCAGAGGGCAGGAUCCGGCUUGAAUGCCCUCAUGCCACUGCUCUCGAGGAUUCCUGAAGGGCUGGUACUCUGGCAACGUCUGCACGGUACUGCAUGACGAAGCUGGAGCCCAAAAGAGUUAAUGCCCCUGAAGGGACUUAAUAGACUCAGAGGGAGCAGGAGCACUUCCUUGGCCUCCGUGGUGGCCCCUCCCCUCCAUGGCUGGGUCAGCCGGAUUCUGGCUCAGCCCUGAGGCUUUUUUGUUUCUUCAAGUCUUAGGAUGUCCUCACCCAACCUCCCUGGUAGACUUCAGACAGCACUGGGCGAGGGGCUUAUUUUCUGUGCACCCCCGUUGUCCUCAUCAGCACUUAGAGCCCUUGAGGACUUGGUCUCCAGCCAGAUUUCAGGCUCAGUUUGUCUUAUCUAUUUGCUUGGCCAGUCCCCCAGCCCCCUGUCCCUGCAGCAAGCUCUCUGACUGCGGUGCAGUGACACCAGCCCCUUGGCAGUGGGUUGAUUAGAGUGCCCACCUGCCCUCAAUCUUAUUUAUGUGUUGGAGUCCCUAGUACCUCAGAUUGUGGCCUUACCUGGAGAUAGGAUCAUUUCAGAAGGAAUCAGGUUAAAUGAGGUCUUUAGGGUGGGCAAUCCAGGAUGACUGGUGUACUUACAAAAACUAGAAAUUUGAGCACAAAUAUGCAUAAAGGGAAGAGGAUGUGAAGACGCAGGGAGAAACCAGCCAUCUACCAGCCGAGGAGAGAGUCCUGGAACAGACUCUUCCCUCACAGUCUCAGAAGGAACCAACCCUGCUGACACCUUGAUCUUGGACUUCCAGCCUCCAGAACUGGGAGAUGUAUAUUUCUGCCAUUUAACCCACCCAGUCUGUGGUCCCUUGUUAUGGCAGCCCUCACAGGUGAGCACUCUAGUAGUUCUCAAACCAUCUAACCCCUUCCCCUGGGGCAGGCACCAUGCUCAGAGGUUUACAUGCAUUAUCUCAUUUAAUUAUCUUAAAAACACAGUAUCUGAAGUUCCUUUUUAUGAAAAGAAGUGUUGUCUAUGCUGGUUAGCCUGUGCUGACAUUGUAAACAGAACCCAUCUGAAUGAACCAAAAACAGCAGUCACAGGAUUGCAUGAUAUCCCAGAGACCACAACGGGAGGGACAGUUCAAAGGGUAUGGCGAUGCUCAGGCCAGUGUGAGUGGCGAUGCCAGGGGUUCUCGUGGUCAUCUGACAUUAGAGAGGGUGGAACUUCCCACAUAAGUAAGAGAAAGAAUUUUUUUCUAACUUGGAGGCAGCCAUUCUGCAAGGAGAAAAUCCAUUUGUGACGCCCAGUUUGAAAGACUGUUACCUCACAUGUGAUUAGGGUAUCUGUGUCAGAAAGGAAGUGAGUGACUUAUUGUAUGUCAAGUGCUCAGAACAGUGACAGGCACGUAGUGAGUUCUGGGUAACUGUAGACCAUUAUUAUUAGUAGUAUUCUAAAGUUUCUCUGCCAAGAAAGAGUGUCACAAACAUUAAUGAUGGCUCCUACCUUGUACCCUAUGAGCUGAUCCUGUGAAGUUUAUAGGACCACAGUUAUCUACUGCAAGAAUAAAAUAGAAGCCAUUUUUUUCUAGAAUAUUUCAGAAAGUAAAAGAAGGUGACACAACCCCAACCAUUUCCUGCCAAAGCCCUACAUCUGUGGCUAAAGCUUUGCGGAGCUGGUUUUCUAUUGUGAUGCUCAGUGAACCUCUCAGUUCUUAGGCGUGGCUGCAAGCUUCUCUGUUAUCAGUUGGGCCUCUUCAAGGCUGCAGAGUGAACCUUCUUCAUGGCACCUCCUUCUGCAGGUGUUUAUAUCUGCUUUCCAAUAGAAAACCCUUCUCCACACUUUGCCAUUGAGCAGUUUGCCAGAACAAUUUGAAGCAAAUAGGGAGGUUGUGGGAGAGUUCCCAAGUCACCCCUCGGAGAUGGACUGAGAUCAGAAACUUAGUAAUUCUAACCUUAUCAAUCAUCUUGGCUGUGAAGACCAUCUUUACUGGCCUGGAUCUUCCUUCCCCCAACCAAAACCAAAAACCAAUUAGCAGCCAGCACUUGCAUCACACACCUGCUAAGGGCGAGAAAUUCUGUGUUAGUUAUUUUUAUUUAAGUUGCCUCAUUCUUAGUUCUCUAAACUAUGUGUGACAGCAGCUCACUUACUCUUCCUCAAAAUUCUGUAGUGCAGAUAAAGCUACUUCCUUAAUGGACGAGGAAACUGAGUGAAAUUUGCCUGGGGAAAAUACUCAGGAAAAGACAGAUUUAGGAUUCCAAUGUUGGUCUUCUUGGCUUCAGGUUCUAGGCUAUUUCCAAAUCCCCUGAAGCUUCUCAGUUUGGGAGUGUCUGAGUCAGGGAGACCAUUUAGGCUGGAAAGGACAUGGCUGAUGAAAUACACUGAGAAGGUUCUGUAUAUGAGGUCUCUCCAGAGAUGUCUGGAAUUCCUCAGUCAGAAUCUCUGUUUUCGGGUAAGGUGUGUUUACAAAGGGGCAGCAGAGGCUCUCAGUACUGACCUGGGGGGCACACAGUCUCCCUGUUCCAGUGGGUCUCUAGAUCAGAUGACAACACCAGCCAAUGGAGGGCACAGGUGAGUAUGGAUGGCAGGAGGGGAUGAAGAGGCUCCAGGAAGAGACCGGAAGAGCAGGAAGAGUCGAUGCAACAGAUAUUGUGGGUGUUACUGAGAGCCAGGCUCUGGGCUGACAGUAGGCUGUGGGCUGGAGGGACCUGCUCUGCAAGGGAGGAAGGUGGAGUGCGUCUAUGACAGUGUGUCGGUCAUGAGCGUCAAUGGGAAAUAACAAUGAAGGCAAACUCAAGCUAUGUUUCUAUGACCUCCGUGUCCCAUACUGAAGGAACACAUGCUGAACUUUUGGAAGUUUUGUUCCAUUGACCCAGGUGACCCAGGCAACCCUUCCCAAAGCAAAGAAGAGGUCAUUCUCAUAAUGCUGUGUACAUCUCAUCAUCCUGGCAGCCCUCUGCCCACAGAAGAACCCUACGAUCUGUGAAGGGGAAGCAGGGUGUGUAAUAGAGAAAUAAACACUCCAUUUCUACUUUGUUCUUGGCGGGAGCCUAGAGUUGCUGUGAACCUUCUCAUGAAAGAUGGAGACAGAGCAGCCUUCUUUCCUGUGUCCAAUUUCCUACAUGAUAAACUGACUCAUUGGGUUACAUGGUCACAAAUGUGCUUUAAGGAAAAGAAAUGCCAUUGUUUGUGUAAUACAAUCUUUAGAGGGAAUCAAAACUAAUAGUUAGCUCGAGUCUGGGAAUUGGUAGUGAAUUACUAAAAUUCAACUGUUUCUCUUCCCUUCUUAUCUCUGCACACAACACAAUUCUUUCUUUAAAAACUAAUCUGUAUGAAAUAUGGGAAAAAGCAAAAAUAGGCUAUGAGGCCGUCUGGUAACAAUAAUGGAAGUAAAUGGAAAUCUAAAUCCUCCCUCCAAAAUUUUUUUUGUGAGAGCUGGAAUCUGUCAAGGACCCAGACUUUGCUAGGAUGACUGUCUUCAGAGCCUUGUCCCUGGCACAUUCCUAUUUUCAAGGGUGCUGUGCUUUGGCAUAAUGUAUUCUUUGCAAGUGACAUGUCUUGGUCGAGUGUCUAGAAGACACUGUCAUGUUCUGUUUUAACAGUCAUGAGUUAGUGAAGGGACCAGGGGCUUCCUGAAGAUCUUAGCUUUGUAAACCUGUAAUCGAAACUGCUGGCACUCACGGAAACUUGGAAACACAAGGGUCAGAGGCCGCUGUGAAGACCAGAGAAUUUCCUCAACUGAUCAUGAGGUCCUGGUCUUUGUCCCCAUCCUGCCUUUCCUCUCUGUCUCAGGUGACAACCUGUACGCCGGACAGAUGCAGCUUCUGUUCGAACCUGUAGCUCUUGGAAGACCUGGAAAAAAGAAAAGGAGAAUUUCGCUGAUUCUUGGAUUGACCGUGAAGUGCAGUGGAAAUGCUCCAAGGGAAGCAGGCACCGGAAAUAGGAUGGAGUGUCAGUCACCAAGACAGAAGACAAAAACAUAAGCUGUGAAAUAUGAUUAUAAAAUAGUGACACGAGUACCAGAAACCAUGGAGGAAACGUCUCCUUGUUCUGGAUCCACACUUCAUACGUGGUCAUUGAAAUGUGGCAUCAAAUGGGAGGAACGUGAUGGGCCAGGUCAGGGGAAGAGCACGAAGCAGGGCCUUUCCCUGGGAGAUGGCUCCAUGUGACAUGCUUCAUACUGAAGCACAUUGGCCCUCAGCACUGGUAUCUUGCUUCACCUGGGGAUGGUGAUGAAAUGAUGCAGAGCUGCCUCAAUACGAUGCGGAGCUGACUCAAUACAAUGUGUUUUUAUCCUCCAUCGUGAAGCAGCUGGGAGCACCAGGAGGCAGGUUUUCCCGUCCUUAUGGAAAGCACCAUAUUGGUCUGCUGGGGACAUGUUCUUUUACUCCAAGGAGUAGUGGAUGUGCAACUGGGCUGUCCUACCUGCAGAGAUGUGUGGGGCUGGCUGCUGAGAACAGAUGGCAACUGGUUGGCUCUGAUGCUUCAGAAGAGGUGAAUACAUUUGGAGAGGCCACAGCUGAGAGUCUCUCAAACCGGGAGUUAUUAUUUUAAAAGUUGGAUUUUUAGUAAGAUUUUACCAGGUGAGGCUGAUUAAAUGAUGGUGGCGGGGGCGGGAAGAACACCUCUGUAGUUGGGGAGAGAAACAAAUAAAAGUGAGUUGAAGUCAACUUCUCCAGUUAA
Macaca mulatta (Rhesus monkey) is the source of this 6838-nucleotide non-coding RNA. Lineage: Eukaryota; Metazoa; Chordata; Mammalia; Primates; Cercopithecidae. The record is from RefSeq and is a predicted model, not a curated record.